RNAcentral lists this long non-coding RNA (2662 nucleotides) under Pan troglodytes (chimpanzee). Its description in RNAcentral is "lncRNA (ENSPTRG00000053878.1)". Lineage: Eukaryota; Metazoa; Chordata; Mammalia; Primates; Hominidae. The record is from RNAcentral.
CUCUGAAAUAUUGUUGUUGUUGUUGUUUGAAAAAUAUAUAUAAAUGACCCUUACCUCAGAGUUAUGGAGAAUAGAUUAAAAGUGCUGCAGGGGAGACAUGGGUGAGUUAGCUCAGACUAACAAAUUUAGGAAGGGACGAGGAAAAAGGGGACCACACAGGCCAAAAAGUGAGUGUGUGGAGGUUUGUUUGCCCCUGUGCAAGGGGAAAGGAAGGACAUGAAUGAGGGAAAUGAGUUGGGUGUUGAUAAAUAUGUUGAAACAUCUGACCUCAACUUUUGGAGUUAAGAGUACAGUCUUUACAGACUAUUCAAAAUAAUUCUGGCUUUUCUUUCUCUUUCUCUUGCUUUUCUCAAUGAAAUCCUUAUGAAGUAUGUACUAAAAACAGGGCUGUGAGUUUCAAGAGGGCAGAGGCAUGUCUGUUCACUUCUUUGUGACUAGGACCUAGCUCAGUGCCUGAACCACGGUAGAUUCUCACCACCUGUUUGAUUCUGAUGAAUUCACUGAGAACACCGACUCAUUGGUACAGGCAGCACCUCCUUAAGAGUUUUCUUUUAAACCACCUUAGCAUUUAUGUGCUCCAACCUCAAAGCAACACCUGUCAAGUUUCUCUCCUCUGGCUAGUUCUCAGCCAAGUUGUCACCCACUUGGAAGAGAGUGAAACUAAAAUAGUUUAUUACCAUCUACUGCGCUACUAAGUACUGGACACUGUGUUAGGUUCCUACUGACAUUUUAAUCAUUCCGAAUGACAUCAAGAGCUAGAUUCAUUCCACAGUCCAGAAGCUUCUUAUCAAUGAGUGCAGAAGUUCAAACAAUACUGAUCUGUACUUAUAGAACUAUAAGGAAAAUAGAUAAAUAAAAGCAAAAGUACCACUGACUUAUAUUUCUGUUCCUUUUGCUUUACCUUGGAAGCUGGGCCAUCACUGGAGGCGAUUGUCCAGGGCUUUACAAUACAAGCGUGCAUUUGUUCAAAGUCACAGACCCUAAGCUGUUAAAAGGUACAGCUUAUAAUUCUUGGUUCUUGAACAAGGAAAUUUCCUUUCCAAUUGUCAACUGUGAAGCAGUCAAUUUUAAGUUCUCUUUUGCAAUCUUUGCAAUAUAUACAGCUUCAUGGUUCCUGCCUGGAAGAAAAAAGGCAGCAGCUGGAGGAAGAGACUUGUUCUUAACUCUGAGCUGAAAUUCUGUUCAGUUGCCAUUUGCUGAUAGAACCCAUGUGUACCCAAACCUACGGUCAAAAAAUAUGUCUAUGGCAAAUUGUGAUAGUUCACAAGUUCACAGGAUGUGAAAAACAGGGCAGAUAAGAAUCUAGUGCUUCAUGGUGCCACAGAUGUCCAAAAGCAGAACAGAUACUGUUGUUUAGCAGAAUGCAUGGGUCACCAGCUAUAACAACUACCUAGUUAACUCUUACAUCCUACUUUAAGUUUCUGCUUAUUAUAUUUAUCAGCAUCAUGCAAAAUCUUUUUAGGUAGUGGAUUCACUUAUACCAUUUUAUGCUGCCCUAUUUAUCUUCUCUAUUUCAUCUACUACUUGGAACAAACACUCUGCGAGGAACACACUAUGCUUAAGGCAAGAACUAUGGCCAGUAACACGUGAGAGGGCAAGAUCACAACCUGAAAUUUGGGAGCUGUUUUCACUCCAUAAGCCGCUGUUGUCUUAAGUACUUAUGAUGUGGCCCAGAAAAGACAAAUAGUCUUCUGAAAAUAUCUCUACAAAAAAAAAAAAAAGCCUUCUCCCCAGUACCUAUAAAACAUUCAUAACACCUUCAUUGUGCUGUGAAUCCUUAGCAGGAGUUGAUAACAGUGUAUGAAUUUUUAAUGUAACAUUUAUAAAUGGUUAUUAAAACUAUCCUUAAAGUAAAGUGUCAGUUUAUUUUUAAUUAACUGUUGGCUAUUUAAGCUCCCAGAUGGCCUGGGGAAAGACCAAUAAGCCCACAUGUCAAUUAUCCUCCCUCCUGCUCCAUCUUUAACCCCUUAUUGCUUGCUGUCACAAAGACCAAUGCAUGUAAGUUCUAAGAACUUAAAUAAACUCCAGAUUAUGGUCUUUGGAACAUUUUAUUUCUUAUAAAGGGGUCCUGAAAUGUCUGUCACCUACCAUGGCUACCAUGAAAAUUUGAAUUAAGCACUACAUGGUCUGUCUGAGUCCCAAGAGCCCAGACCAACUUCUACAUACAUAUAUGAUCCAGCAAGAGAGAAAAUCGGGGCAAAGAAGAGUGAUAGGUGGGUUCUAGACUGCUAAACAUGAGGCUUAAGAUUUUAACUUAGGCUAAGUGACAUCCUGCUUGUAUGACCUUGAGCCAAUUUCAGUUUCUUCCGAUGUACUUCUUUAUCUGCAUAUAUAUAAAGCUGAUGUAAAUUGCUCUUAUUUCCUCAAGAGGUUAUAAGCAUCAAAUUAAAAGCUGGGCAUAAUUUUUUUUUUUUUUUUUUUUUUUUUUUUUUUUUUUUUUUUUUUUUUUUUUUUUUUUUUUUUGGUGGGGAGAUACGGAGUCUUGCUCUGUCACCCUGACUGGAGUGCAGUGGCCUGAUCUUGGCUCACUGCAACCUCCACCUCCCAGGUUCAAGCGAUUCUUGUGCCUCAGACUCCCAAGUAGCUGGGACUACAGGUGUGUACCACCAUACCUGGCUAUUUCUUUAUUAUUAUUAUUUUAGUAGAGAUGCGGUUUCACCAU